RNAcentral lists this ribosomal RNA (700 nucleotides) under Vibrio sp. MSSRF24. Its description in RNAcentral is "bacterial SSU rRNA". It matches the Rfam family "Bacterial small subunit ribosomal RNA", at positions 111 to 808 of the family's 1533-position model. The record is from RNAcentral. Lineage: Bacteria; Pseudomonadati; Pseudomonadota; Gammaproteobacteria; Vibrionales; Vibrionaceae.
UAAAGCCUGGGAAAUUGCCCUGAUGUGGGGGAUAACCAUUGGAAAACGAUGGCUAAUACCGCAUGAUGUCUACGGACCAAUGAGGGGGACUUCGGGCCUCUCGCGUCAGGAUAUGCCCAGGUGGGAUUAGCUAGUUGGUGAGGUAAUGGCUCACCAAGGCGACGAUCCCUAGCUGGUCUGAGAGGAUGAUCAGCCACACUGGAACUGAGACACGGUCCAGACUCCUACGGGAGGCAGCAGUGGGGAAUAUUGCACAAUGGGCGCAAGCCUGAUGCAGCCAUGCCGCGUGUAUGAAGAAGGCUUCGGGUUGUAAAGUACUUUCAGCAGUGAGGAAGGAUGUAGUUUUAACAGAGCUGCAUUUUGACGUUAGCUGCAGAAGAAGCACCGGCUAACUCCGUGCCAGCAGCCGCGGUAAUACGGAGGGUGCGAGCGUUAAUCGGAAUUACUGGGCGUAAAGCGCAUGCAGGUGGUCUGUUAAGUCAGAUGUGAAAGCCCGGGGCUUAACCCCGGAGUUGCAUUUGAAACUGGCAGGCUAGAGUACUGUAGAGGGGGGUAGAAUUUCAGGUGUAGCGGUGAAAUGCGUAGAGAUCUGAAGGAAUACCGGUGGCGAAGGCGGCCCCCUGGACAGAUACUGACACUCAGAUGCGAAAGCAUGGGGAGCAAACAGGAUUAGAUACCCUGGUAGUCCACGCCGUAAACG